This 253-nucleotide ribosomal RNA is filed under the name uncultured bacterium. Its description in RNAcentral is "partial 16S ribosomal RNA". It matches the Rfam family "Bacterial small subunit ribosomal RNA", at positions 524 to 776 of the family's 1533-position model. The record is from RNAcentral.
UACGAAGGGGGCUAGCGUUGUUCGGAAUUACUGGGCGUAAAGCGCACGUAGGCGGACAUUUAAGUCAGGGGUGAAAUCCCGGAGCUCAACUCCGGAACUGCCUUUGAUACUGGGUGUCUUGAGUGUGGAAGAGGUGAGUGGAAUUCCAGGUGUAGCGGUGAAAUGCGUAGAUAUCUGGAGGAACACCGGUGGCGAAGGCGGCAUCCUGGACCGGCAUUGACGCUGAGGCGCGAAAGCCAGGGGAGCAAACGGG